GAAGAAUUUGUUUUAUCGUUAGCCGAUUGAUUAUCUGUGUCCCAUAGAAAGUCAUGAUAACACCUUACUUGGAGACACGUUUGAUAAAUCAAGGUUAGAACAUAGUAUCUUUGAAUGGAGGGAUGAAGAUGAUGGUGUAGAACCAUUGUUUACACCUUACUGAGAGACUGUUUAGAUAAGUCAUGGUUUAAGCAUACUAGCUUUGAUUAAGGGCCUGAAAACAAGAGAGUAGGGACUAUUUGUGGACAAUUUAUGAAUACUUGGA
Molecule: long non-coding RNA, 265 nt
Organism: Patella vulgata (common limpet)
Lineage: Eukaryota; Metazoa; Mollusca; Gastropoda; Patellidae
Exons: 3
Source: RefSeq, a predicted model, not a curated record